Cryptomeria japonica (Japanese cedar) is the source of this 89-nucleotide small nucleolar RNA. RefSeq annotates it as small nucleolar RNA SNORD96 family. The transcript has a single exon. NCBI's taxonomy places the organism in Eukaryota, Viridiplantae, Streptophyta, Pinopsida, Cupressales, Cupressaceae. The record is from RefSeq and is a predicted model, not a curated record.
UGGCCAGUGACGAAUCAGAAAAUCACACCAUCUUUCGGAGCUUAUUGGCCCUAAGGCCAUGCUGAUUCUUUUCUGCAAAUCUGAGGCCU